RNAcentral lists this ribosomal RNA (597 nucleotides) under uncultured bacterium. Its description in RNAcentral is "bacterial SSU rRNA". It matches the Rfam family "Bacterial small subunit ribosomal RNA", at positions 28 to 635 of the family's 1533-position model. The record is from RNAcentral.
AAUGAACGUGGGCGGCGUGGAUUAGGCAUGCAAGUCGAGCGAGAAGCCUCCUUCGGGAGGUGGAAAGCGGCGAAAGGGUGAGGAACACGUGGAUUACCUACCCUCGGGUCCGGGAUAGCUGCGGGAAACUGCAGGUAAUACCGGAUAACAUCUCUGGAUCAAAGGUGUGAUUCCGCCCGAGGAUGGGUCCGCGUCCUAUUAGCUUGUUGGUGGGGUAAUGGCCUACCAAGGCUGCGAUGGGUAGCGGGCGUGAGAGCGUGGCCCGCCACACUGGGACUGAGACACUGCCCAGACACCUACGGGUGGCUGCAGUCGAGAAUCUUCGGCAAUGGACGCAAGUCUGACCGAGCGACGCCGCGUGCGGGAUGAAGGCCUUCGGGUUGUAAACCGCUGUCAGAGGGGAGGAAAUCCCUUGGGGCUAUCCCCUUGGGUUGACCUAUCCUCAGAGGAAGUCCGGGCUAAGUUCGUGCCAGCAGCCGCGGUAAUACGAACCGGACAAACGUUAUUCGGAAUCACUGGGCUUAAAGGGUGCGUAGGCGGCGCGGCAAGUUGGAUGUGAAAUCCCUCGGCUCAACCGAGGAACUGCGUCCAAAACUG